UACGUAGGGUGCGAGCGUUGUCCGGAAUUAUUGGGCGUAAAGAGCUCGUAGGCGGUGUGUCACGUCGGCCGUGAAAACCUGCAGCUUAACUGUGGGCGUGCGGUCGAUACGGGCAUCACUGGAGUUCGGCAGGGGAGACUGGAAUUCCUGGUGUAGCGGUGAAAUGCGCAGAUAUCAGGAGGAACACCGGUGGCGAAGGCGGGUCUCUGGGCCGAUACUGACGCUGGAGGAGCGAAAAGCCGUGGGGAGCAAACAGG
RNAcentral lists this ribosomal RNA (257 nucleotides) under uncultured bacterium. RNAcentral describes it as "partial 16S ribosomal RNA". It matches the Rfam family "Bacterial small subunit ribosomal RNA", at positions 524 to 776 of the family's 1533-position model. The record is from RNAcentral.